CUACCGGGGUAUCUAAUCCUGUUUGCUCCCCUAGCUUUCGUGCCUCAGUGUCAGGAGUUGUCCAGGGACUCGCCUUCGCCACUGGUGUUCCGCUUGAUAUCUACGCAUUUCACUGCUACACCAAGCAUUCCAGUCCCCCCUCCAACCCUCGAGCAAGGUAGUUUCCAAUGCCAUUUCGGAGUUGAGCUCCGAGCUUUCACAUCCGACUUACCUCACCACCUACGCACCCUUUACGCCCAGUGAAUCCGAACAACGCUUGGGACCUCUGUAUUACCGCGGCUGCUGGCAC
RNAcentral lists this ribosomal RNA (289 nucleotides) under uncultured Verrucomicrobiota bacterium. RNAcentral describes it as "uncultured Verrucomicrobia bacterium partial 16S ribosomal RNA". The record is from RNAcentral. Lineage: Bacteria; Pseudomonadati; Verrucomicrobiota.